GAUGAACGCUGGCGGCGUGCCUAAUACAUGCAAGUCGAGCGAACGGACGAGAAGCUUGCUUCUCUGAUGUUAGCGGCGGACGGGUGAGUAACACGUGGAUAACCUACCUAUAAGACUGGGAUAACUUCGGGAAACCGGAGCUAAUACCGGAUAAUAUUUUGAACCGCAUGGUUCAAAAGUGAAAGACGGUCUUGCUGUCACUUAUAGAUGGUUCCGCGCUGCAUUAGCUAGUUGGUAAGGUAACGGCUUACCAAGGCAACGAUGCAUAGCCGACCUGAGAGGGGGAUCGGCCACACUGGAACUGAGACACGGACCAGACUCCUACGGGAGGCAGCAGUAGGGAAUCUUCCGCAAUGGGCGAAAGCCUGACGGAGCAAGGCCGCGUGAGUGAUGAGGGUCUUCGGAUCGGAAAACUCUGUUAUUAGGGAAGAACAUAUGUGUAAGUAACUGUGCACAUCUUGACGGUAACUAAUCAGAAAGCCACGGCUAACUACGUG
RNAcentral lists this ribosomal RNA (497 nucleotides) under uncultured bacterium. Its description in RNAcentral is "partial 16S ribosomal RNA". It matches the Rfam family "Bacterial small subunit ribosomal RNA", at positions 28 to 507 of the family's 1533-position model. The record is from RNAcentral.